This 346-nucleotide unclassified non-coding RNA is filed under the name Dermacentor andersoni. Its description in RNAcentral is "uncharacterized LOC126538776". Lineage: Eukaryota; Metazoa; Arthropoda; Arachnida; Ixodida; Ixodidae. The record is from RNAcentral.
AGAAACCCUGUGGCCGUGAUCUUAUAUCAGAUGCAUUUUUGCAAAAACAUGCAGUUUGGACGUCAAAAUACUUAUACGUAAUUUACAGGCGAUCUUUGGAAACUUCAGUGAUACCUGACGACUGGCGAAGGGCCAAAGUAAUACCUGUGCACAAAUCUGGCUCUAAACUCGACCUGGACAAGUCGGAAUGGCAAUGCACCUUGGAGAACAAGACUCUAAUUGUGAAAGUCUGGUGGUUUCACAGAACUUUGUUUUAUGUCAAGAUGGGCUGACACCAUGUCACCUGAUGCUGUCACUCUCUGGUAAGCAUGUUAAAAAAAUAAAAACAAUCCAGUUUGAACAGUAA